RNAcentral lists this ribosomal RNA (497 nucleotides) under uncultured bacterium. RNAcentral's name for it is "partial 16S ribosomal RNA". It matches the Rfam family "Bacterial small subunit ribosomal RNA", at positions 28 to 507 of the family's 1533-position model. The record is from RNAcentral.
GAUGAACGCUGGCGGCGUGCCUAAUACAUGCAAGUCGAGCGAACAGAUGAGGAGCUUGCUCCUCUGACGUUAGCGGCGGACGGGUGAGUAACACGUGGAUAACCUACCUAUAAGACUGGGAUAACUUCGGGAAACCGGAGCUAAUACCGGAUAAUAUAUUGAACCGCAUGGUUCAAUAGUGAAAGGCGGUUUUGCUGUCACUUAUAGAUGGAUCCGCGCCGCAUUAGCUAGUUGGUAAAGUAACGGCUUACCAAGGCAACGAUGCGUAGCCGACCUGAGAGGGUGAUCGGCCACACUGGAACUGAGACACGGUCCAGACUCCUACGGGAGGCAGCAGUAGGGAAUCUUCCGCAAUGGGCGAAAGCCUGACGGAGCAACGCCGCGUGAGUGAUGAAGGUCUUCGGAUCGUAAAACUCUGUUAUUAGGGAAGAACAAAUGUGUAAGUAACUAUGCACGUCUUGACGGUACCUAAUCAGAAAGCCACGGCUAACUACGUG